Molecule: long non-coding RNA, 877 nt
Organism: Cyanistes caeruleus (blue tit)
Lineage: Eukaryota; Metazoa; Chordata; Aves; Passeriformes; Paridae
Source: RefSeq, a predicted model, not a curated record
AAACCACAAUUAAACAAAAUGCCAACCAAAUAAUUAGAACAGACAACAACACCUAGACAGCUGAUAUAUGUUAGAAUACAUUUCUGGAACACGCUGGCUCUUGUUUCCCAGUGCCUGAGCCGGCAAUGGCGCCUCCGGCCUUGCUGACCUCUGAGGAGCCUGCUCUGCCUCCUCCUGCGCUUGCUUUUUGCCGCACCUCACAUGCCACCUAGUGGCUUCCCAAGUGGAAAAUUCCUUUUAAACGUGAUUUACAGUCACGUCGCCUCUGCCGGCUGCUCCGUACACCUCAAGCUCGCUCUUGAAGAGCACAGCCCCGGCACCUCUGCAGCCCGGCCCCGGCCAAGAGCCGCCUGUCAGCGGCCCCUCCCUGCACCCUCAGACCCCCGGGAAAUUCCCACCUCCUCGGCCUGUGUUUACAGCUCUCUCCUGUUCUCUGCCAUGUUCAAAGCCUUCACGGAGCCCACGCCCAUUUGGCUGCUCACCUUACCCCCCUGGCCCACGACCUUAACCAAGUAUCUGGCAGAAAGAAGAAAAGGAAUGUGAAGAAAGGUAAGAUGUCUCUGCAGAGUAUGGUCUCAGCUGAAGUAGACGUCUUUUCCUGGAGUGCUGAAAAAAAAUCAUUUUAAGAAGCUGAUCUGAUUAACUGGGUUAAACCAGAAAUGUGCUGAAUUUCUCUGCAGACAUGGCAUAGCUGCUGACCUGCACUGAGACUGGAAAUCGUUCCAGGCUGUGACGUGCCAUGUCUGUUCAUGUCAGCUGUGCACUGGGAAAUGCACAAGAAAACUUGCUGAAAAUGUCCUUCAGCUUAGGGCUCAAAAAAGAUUCCUGUAAAACAUGUUGCUUGUGAGGAAACCAGCCUCUCAGACCAAAUAAAUAA